Dioscorea cayenensis subsp. rotundata (Guinea yam) is the source of this 107-nucleotide small nucleolar RNA. The record is from RefSeq and is a predicted model, not a curated record. Lineage: Eukaryota; Viridiplantae; Streptophyta; Magnoliopsida; Dioscoreales; Dioscoreaceae.
AGCCCAUAUUGAGGACAUUUCUGCAGGAGCUCUUUGAACCUGUCCAAUGUCUCAAAAAGAAACUCCAAUUCCAUUUGCAUAAAAGAAGAUAUCUUAUUCCUAAGCUU